AGCAGCCGCGGUAAUUCCAGCUCCAAUAGCGUAUAUUAAAGUUGUUGCAGUUAAAAAGCUCGUAGUUGAAUUUCGGGGUUAGUAAGUUGGUCGUGCCACUGGUAUGUACUGGCCUUACUGAUUCCUCCUUCUUGUAGAACCGUAAUGCCAUUAAGUUGGUGUUGCGGGGAAACAGGACUGUUACUUUGAAAAAAUUAGAGUGUUUAAAGCAAGCUAACGUUUGAAUACAUUAGCAUGGAAUAAUGAAAUAGGACGUUCGAUCCUAUUUUGUUGGUUUCUAGGAUUGACGUAAUGAUUAAUAGGGAUAGUUGGGGGCAUUAGUAUUCAAUUGUCAGAGGUGAAAUUCUUGGAUUUAUUGAAGACUAACUACUGCGAAAGCAUUUGCCAAGGAUGUUUUCAUUAAUCAAGAACGAAAGUUAGGGGAUCGAAGACGAUCAGAUACCGUCGUAGUCUUAACCAUAAACUAUGCCGACUAGGGAUCGGAUGAUGUUAAUUUUUAAUGACUCAUUCGGCGCCUUAC
RNAcentral lists this ribosomal RNA (520 nucleotides) under uncultured Glomus. RNAcentral describes it as "SSU rRNA". It matches the Rfam family "Eukaryotic small subunit ribosomal RNA", at positions 569 to 1091 of the family's 1831-position model. The record is from RNAcentral. Lineage: Eukaryota; Fungi; Glomeromycota; Glomeromycetes; Glomerales; Glomeraceae.